This 165-nucleotide ribosomal RNA is filed under the name Stoebe cryptophylla. RNAcentral describes it as "5.8S ribsomal RNA". It matches the Rfam family "5.8S ribosomal RNA". Rfam says of the family: 5.8S ribosomal RNA (5.8S rRNA) is a component of the large subunit of the eukaryotic ribosome. It is transcribed by RNA polymerase I as part of the 45S precursor that also contains 18S and 28S rRNA. Lineage: Eukaryota; Viridiplantae; Streptophyta; Magnoliopsida; Asterales; Asteraceae. The record is from RNAcentral.
CAAACGACUCUCGGCAACGGAUAUCUCGGCUCAYGCAUCGAUGAAGAACGUAGCAAAAUGCGAUACUUGGUGUGAAUUGCAGAAUCCCGUGAACCAUCGAGUUUUUGAACGCAAGUUGCGCCCGAAGCCAUUUGGUUGAGGGCACGUCUGCCUGGGCGUCACGCA